This 653-nucleotide ribosomal RNA is filed under the name uncultured prokaryote. Its description in RNAcentral is "bacterial SSU rRNA". It matches the Rfam family "Bacterial small subunit ribosomal RNA", at positions 28 to 670 of the family's 1533-position model. The record is from RNAcentral.
AUUGAACGCUGGCGGCAGGCCUAACACAUGCAAGUCGAGCGGCAGCGGAAAGUAGCUUGCUACUUUGCCGGCGAGCGGCGGACGGGUGAGUAAUGUCUGGGAAACUGCCUGAUGGAGGGGGAUAACUACUGGAAACGGUGGCUAAUACCGCAUAACGUCGCAAGACCAAAGUGGGGGACCUUCGGGCCUCACGCCAUCGGAUGUGCCCAGAUGGGAUUAGCUAGUAGGUGGGGUAAUGGCUCACCUAGGCGACGAUCCCUAGCUGGUCUGAGAGGAUGACCAGCCACACUGGAACUGAGACACGGUCCAGACUCCUACGGGAGGCAGCAGUGGGGAAUAUUGCACAAUGGGCGCAAGCCUGAUGCAGCCAUGCCGCGUGUGUGAAGAAGGCCUUCGGGUUGUAAAGCACUUUCAGCGAGGAGGAAGGCAUCAUACUUAAUACGUGUGGUGAUUGACGUUACUCGCAGAAGAAGCACCGGCUAACUCCGUGCCAGCAGCCGCGGUAAUACGGAGGGUGCAAGCGUUAAUCGGAAUUACUGGGCGUAAAGCGCACGCAGGCGGUUUGUUAAGUCAGAUGUGAAAUCCCCGCGCUUAACGUGGGAACUGCAUUUGAAACUGGCAAGCUAGAGUCUUGUAGAGGGGGGUAGAANUCC